This 973-nucleotide long non-coding RNA is filed under the name Vitis vinifera (wine grape). RNAcentral describes it as "long non-coding RNA (VVIN_LNC000710)". Lineage: Eukaryota; Viridiplantae; Streptophyta; Magnoliopsida; Vitales; Vitaceae. The record is from RNAcentral.
ACAACUUGAGGAAAACAAACUCUUCUACUGCUGGAAUCUCCCCAAUCUUCUUCAACGUUACCUUGCUAGGUUGCUCAUCCACUCCAAUAGCCAUUACAGCAUGCUUCCGAGGCGCAACUCUUCCAACGCUCAUGAAGCUCACAUUCACGUUCUCCUCCCCCAAAAUGCUCCCAACCUUUCCAAUCAUACCCGGCUGAUCUACCUGUCUGCAAAGUAUAAUGCUACCUUCCAAACUCACAUCCACUUCAAAAGACCCUACCUUUGUCAAAUGGGGAAUCCCAUCUUUGACACGUCCCUCCACUGUAAUCUCCCCAGACUCAGAAAUGGCACUGGCAAAUUUUGAUUCCACAUUAGCAAUCUGAACCUGGAUGAACUCAAGUGGACUCUCAGGUGAACCAUCUAGAAUUGAUCGUUCUUCUGUUAUUCGGAGUCCUCUCUGUUUAGCAGAGAAAUCAGCAUUCACCAAGUUCACAAAAACACUGGAUAUGGGCUCAAUCAGACCCUUAGUGAUCAUGGCUCGGAGUAGCCUUGUGUCAAGGUCAUCAGGAGCCCUGGCAGAAGCAUAUGUCACUUUCACUGACUUUACACCACUUCCACCGGAUACUAACUGGACAGCCAGCCUCCCAAGUUUCUCAGCAAGUUCAACAAAUGGUUUCAGCUCUGACAGAACCUGCAGUUCAGAAGAAAAAAAUAGACAAGUCAAAACCUUAAGCUAUUAUGCCAUAAACUUCAUUUCUCAGUAAAUUCUUUGAAUUUAUAAGAGAGAGACCAGUCUUUAAUUUAGCAGCCUGUUUAGAGAACCACAGACCACCAUGAUAAAGCAAAAUUGACUCAAUGGUACAUGAUGUAAAUAAGAAGUUUGGCGACAAACCCCUCCACAGACUUUCCUUUUUUGUAAUAGACAACAUAUUUAGCCACAAACAUCCAUCUACUUUAUUUUCCUGUCUACUGAUAUAAGUGGUUUCUAAUUUCC